GCGUUGGUGGUAUAGGGGUGAGCAUAGCUGCCUUCCAAGCAGCUGACCCGUGUUCGAUUCCUGGACAACGCA
This is a transfer RNA of Chlorocebus sabaeus (green monkey), 72 nucleotides long. It matches the Rfam family "tRNA". From Rfam's summary of the family: Transfer RNA (tRNA) molecules are approximately 80 nucleotides in length. The record is from Rfam. Lineage: Eukaryota; Metazoa; Chordata; Mammalia; Primates; Cercopithecidae.